GCCACCUUAGCAUCCAGGUCACAGCAAAGUUCAAGGAACUUAUGGUAAAGAUCAAUCACACUUAUGGCACUGCCAACAGAAGCACAUGCUUGUGGAAAAUAGCGUAAAAGAAUUUUAAGGAGGAGAGCUGGGCUCUGAAUUACACCGGAGGCAGAGCGUCUGGACAGUUUUCAUCAGAAGCCACGUCCUAGAGGUAGCGAGCUGUAAACAGUCGUUAAAAGCAACGGAGGAAUGUGUUAGGGUGGGCCCAGGAAGGUGUCAGGCCACGGCGGGCACGUGAGGGAAUGGGCACAGCCUUCAUUGUAGGCACAGAAGCUGGAGCCAGCGGGAGGAGGCAAGCGGGCAACCGAACAGAAUGAUGAGAAAAACCGAAGCUCAGGGAACAUUUCCAAGACCAAGAGCUGAGAACGCUGCGGAGCUGAAAUUUAAAUCCAGUUUGUCAGACCCCCCCAAUCCGACAUUGUCCCCUCGUCCUGCCAUGGCCCAUAUCCCAGGAGGACCUGUCACCAUCCUCCACCUUGGUGAGACAUUGCCCAAGUUAAUGGGCCCAACAAUAGGGUCAGACUACAUUGCUGCUCCAUUUCCAAGAAAUUCUCCACGUGCAACAUCACAUUUCCUGUAACUCCAGUGCCUCAGGUCUCGACUCAAAGGUCACCUCUUCAGAGAGGCCCCUCCUAAUGAACUUCCUAAGCCCAGGCUAUCCUAUGGAUGCACUCCUCCCACCAUCUGCUCUCCCAAGCUCUGCUGAAACCCCCCUGCCUAGAACAAUUUGCUUCGUAGCUGACUUUCCAUAAACAUUCAUACAAUGGAUACAGAAAUGACACAGAGGUCAGCAUCAGAACCCAGGAUCCCCCAAAGCCCUGUUUCUCUCUUUCACAGCCUCUCUCUACCUUAUUCCUAUCACCAAGGGAUUCUUCUCUCUUUCCCUCUUUCUACUAUUUGUUAGAAUGGAAAGCACUGGGCCGGUAAAGCUGUCACUCAGGAUAUGAUUUUUUCUCUGCCACUUUCUGGCUGUGUGCUUUUCUUAAAUCAUGGAACUGCAACUGAAAACGCAUGGAUGACAACACAAGGAUUAUUUUAAAGAUUAAAUGAAAUAACUAGGAUGACUGGGCCUGGCAUAUAUUAAGCAUCAAUUAACAUUAAUUGCUUUGCAUCCUUCUCUUUGUUUCUCUCCUCUCCCAUUGUUCCUUCCUUAUAAAUUAAUUCCCUGCCUUUCUCACAAUCUUUACUCCCUACUCAUAAAGCUUCUGCCAGGGUUGUCAGCAGGAUUUAUGUACUUGAAUUGAACUGAGUUAGGUAGGCAUGAAUGAAAGGCAAGUUAUCUCUUUCUAGGGGGAGAAAAAUUUAAGGCAGAGUGAUGUGAGAAGUGUCGACAAGACCCAGGAAAGCCCAGGGAGAGGGGCUGGGGCUAAGGCGUCUGCCCGCUUGGCAGCAGCUGUGAUGUUCGGAGUACGUGUUCAGACCAGCAGUCCCUGAGAUGCUAUUCCACUUAUUCUGGAGACCACUCUGCUCUUAGCCCCGCUGGGCAGGUAGAUUUGGAAAUGUUUAUUGCAUGAGAUGUGGGAUGGAAGAAAGAAACCUGAAUUGGGAAUGAAGAGGCUUGUUCCACCUUCCCUCAAUCCUGCCAGUAGCCAGCUACAGAGCUUAGGAAAAGUCUGUUUACCUCCCUGGACCUCAGCCUACCCUCUGACAAUUAAAGGGAGAUCACAGUUUUGAAGGCAUCUACCAGCUCUGACGCGCUCUGGCUAAACCAGACCAAAAAUUUUUUUUACAGCCAUUUUUGAAAAGGGAGUGAGAGAAGAGAACUGCAGAAGCUUAAAGAAGCACCAUUUGCAAAGUUUUUUUUUGUUCUGUUUCCAACAAUCUUACUUAUUCGCAGCACAGAUUCUGUUAGGCUUAGACUUGUGUUUCGGUGGCACUGGAUUGAUAGACUCAUACUAAUUGGUGUGGGUGUCUCAAUUUUCUCCGUCCAACUUUGCUGGGGUCUCGCCUUCUCUCUAUGGAAGCUCUUCUCAGGCUCACAAGAGCUGAGAUUUCUCAGAGGCGCCUGUAGAUGGAUUUGCCUUUUUUCUGCUAUAUCCAUCUGAAGCCACAGCAACUCUCUCUGAGCCAAAACCACUCACUAAUUAAUACAUUUCACAGGGUGAAUGAAGCACUGGCACGACCAGCAGCUUGGGGCAGCUCCCAAAGCCAUGGCCUUGCCCAGUGCCCAGAAAGUCCUGCCUGGAGACGGCCAGUGCCAGUUUCCUCCAUGCCAGCACCUCACCCUUCUCAUUUGAACCCAGAAAUGUGUUGACUUCCAGUGCCCCCUACCACCCUAGCUGUGUCAUUUUCUCCUUCACCUGUUUGCAUUUCCAAGGAAGCACAAGUCACAGUCAUAGGGGCUCGUGAUCUAUUUUUUAUUCUCCCCUUUUCUGGGCAGAAUGAUGGAUCAACUCUGGAAAACCUAUUAGGAAAGGGCUGGGCCAUCCUGCGUUUCCGCCAGGCCUGUCCAGGUGACUUUGAGUCAACCCACUGAGAGCUACUUGGCCACAGGCCAUCUCUGUGGGGCACCAUGUUUAUUUGAACCACUGACCCUGGCCCUAGAAGAAAAGAUGAAGACUUAGUGAUACCCCUUCUCCCCAUCUAUCCCCACCAGGGGCUUUUUGGAGUGUCUUUAAUUUACAGUCUGUUGGAAAGCACUCAGAAUCACUCUACCCUACACUCAAGGCAGGACCCUUCAUCAUCCAUCUGCGCCAGGCCAGCCUGCAGGCAUAUAUCCCUGAACUUCCCAGUGAGGUUCUGAAAGAACUGGGAAACUGAGGAAGAGAUUGGAAAUAGAGGAGGCCCCAGUGAUGGCUGUUUGUAUCAAUCAUCACAUUGAUUUGCUUAGGGAAGUCUUAUUCUAACAUUACACUGGUUGGUGAUCAGGCCUCCAGGCCCACUGGACUCCUAAGAUAAGGCUCCAGCUCCACAGAGUUGGAAGACAAAAUUGUCCGCUCCCUCCUUGCAUUCACCCAGCCCGGGGUCUUAUCUGGCAGAUGAUUGCUUGUUGCUCCAGCUUUCUCUGUCCUAACCUCUACAACCAUAGUCACCAAUGAUUUACUUAUUCUUAGACCCAGCCAUAACCUCACAUUUUCCAUGAAUCAGCUAGCCCCCUAUGGUUUCCUGCAAUGUUUCCUUUAUUUUCUAUUUCCUUAUGACAUUCUUUAAAUGAAUCUCCUUCUAUAAUUACCAUUUGACCCCUGGGCUUUUACUCUCCACAUUGCUACAAAAAAAAAAAAAAAAAAAAAAGUCCAGUUCUUUUUGCAAGACGCCAUUCCUUAUAUAUCUUUCCAUCUUCCAUAAUGCCUACAACAAGGGUGACCACAUCAUAAAUUAUUGGUAAAGAUUUCCUGGUUAUGCCAAGACAGAAAUCUAGCCUGCUUGGUAGUUACAUUUCUUUAGGCAAAAUAACAAAUUGACUUUCUGCUUUGAAUUAGGCAUAUUUAUGUCAACAGGAGGCCAAAUCACUGCUGGGUGAGUGACCCACUGCUAGGAAGAUGCCCAGACGCCAACUGGGAAAAGCUUGGCCAAGCCAAUCAGGUGCUGCCAGAGCCUUCUUUGUGAUAGCAAUGCCAACCCAUGAACUAAUACCCUCCUUUGGGAGAGAUGCUGACACGCCAAGGAAACUAAUGUUUUUAUCUCAGCUGACUCAUUUGCUGAGAACAACAGGUUUAUAAGGCAACUCUUAGCUUGACCCACUC
RNAcentral lists this long non-coding RNA (3725 nucleotides) under Homo sapiens (human). Its description in RNAcentral is "HSALNT0308940". Lineage: Eukaryota; Metazoa; Chordata; Mammalia; Primates; Hominidae. The record is from RNAcentral.